This 403-nucleotide ribosomal RNA is filed under the name Burkholderia pyrrocinia. RNAcentral's name for it is "bacterial SSU rRNA". It matches the Rfam family "Bacterial small subunit ribosomal RNA", at positions 198 to 582 of the family's 1533-position model. Lineage: Bacteria; Pseudomonadati; Pseudomonadota; Betaproteobacteria; Burkholderiales; Burkholderiaceae. The record is from RNAcentral.
GGAUGAAAGCGGGGGACCUUCGGGCCUCGCGCUAUAGGGUUGGCCGAUGGCUGAUUAGCUAGUUGGUGGGGUAAAGGCCUACCAAGGCGACGAUCAGUAGCUGGUCUGAGAGGACGACCAGCCACACUGGGACUGAGACACGGCCCAGACUCCUACGGGAGGCAGCAGUGGGGAAUUUUGGACAAUGGGCGAAAGCCUGAUCCAGCAAUGCCGCGUGUGUGAAGAAGGCCUUCGGGUUGUAAAGCACUUUUGUCCGGAAAGAAAUCCUUGGUUCUAAUAUAGCCGGGGGAUGACGGUACCGGAAGAAUAAGCACCGGCUAACUACGUGCCAGCAGCCGCGGUAAUACGUAGGGUGCGAGCGUUAAUCGGAAUUACUGGGCGUAAAGCGUGCGCAGGCGGUUUG